RNAcentral lists this ribosomal RNA (429 nucleotides) under Bacteroidota bacterium. RNAcentral describes it as "Bacteroidetes bacterium partial 16S ribosomal RNA". It matches the Rfam family "Bacterial small subunit ribosomal RNA", at positions 355 to 776 of the family's 1533-position model. The record is from RNAcentral. Lineage: Bacteria; Pseudomonadati; Bacteroidota.
UAGGGAAUCUUCCGCAAUGGACGCAAGUCUGACGGAGCAACGCCGCGUGAGUGAAGAAGGAUUUCGGUUUGUAAAACUCUGUUGUUAGGGAAGAACAGCGCAUAGAGUAACUGUUAUGCGUGUGACGGUAUCUAACCAGAAAGCCACGGCUAACUACGUGCCAGCAGCCGCGGUAAUACGUAGGUGGCAAGCGUUGUCCGGAUUUAUUGGGCGUAAAGCGAGGGCAGGCGGUCAAUUAAGUCGGAUGGGAAAGCCCCCGGCUCAACCGGGGAGGGUCAUUGGAAACGGGUUGACUUGAGGGCAGAAGGGGAGAGUGGAAUUCCAGGUGUAGCGGGGAAAUGCGUAGAUAUAUGGAGGAAAACCAGGGGCGAAGGCGACUCUCUGGUCUGUAACUGACGCUGAGGCUCGAAAGCGUGGGAAGCAAACAGG